CUACCGCCACGCGGUAUCAUUGCGCGUUGUAGCGUGAAGCCCGGGGCUCAAACGCCUUCACCGCCAUCCGACAAUUAACGCCUGCAAUCAUGUGCGCUUCUUCUUCCCCAAAAACAAGAAACCCAAGUGAAAACCCCGAAUGACCUCAGCUGGCGAUUAGGAGUCGAGACGAUGCGCCUGAGACGAUUGAUCCUGUAAGCAGAUCCAGGAGUAGAGGAUCUGCUUGUCGGACAAAGAUUGAUGCGAGACUUCGCCAAAGCCCUCCUCGCUCAGGACGUCUCCAGCUCGCCGACCUGCGGCAGAUUAUCUGCCGAUGACUUUUGGGCUUCUGAUUCUCGUCUUUAGUUCUAAAUAAUUGGCAAAGCUGCUGAAAAAUAAAACACUCUGUGCAUUUGGGCGAGUGAUGCUUACUUCCUAAGGAGGCCGCAUGGUGUUCUUCAGCGUGACAGCGGAGAGGCCGACUGGACGGAGAGGAGGAUGUGCCUUCAUUCUGCACCGGAGCAGAAGCAGCCCGCAUCGAGGAAAAUAAUAAUAAUAAUAAUAA
This is a long non-coding RNA of Gasterosteus aculeatus aculeatus (three-spined stickleback), 544 nucleotides long. The record is from Ensembl. NCBI's taxonomy places the organism in Eukaryota, Metazoa, Chordata, Actinopteri, Perciformes, Gasterosteidae.